Long non-coding RNA from Pristis pectinata (smalltooth sawfish), 467 nucleotides. RefSeq lists it as uncharacterized. Lineage: Eukaryota; Metazoa; Chordata; Chondrichthyes; Rhinopristiformes; Pristidae. The transcript is spliced from 3 exons. The record is from RefSeq and is a predicted model, not a curated record.
UGAAACCUUUCUUGUGAACUAUAGACGCAAGAGACUGCAGACACUGGAAUAUGGAGCAAAGAAUAAACUGCCGGAGGAAAUCAACAGGUCAAGCAGCAUCUGUGGAGGCAGAGAAAUGUUCAAUGCUUCAGUCUGCCUGAAAGAUAUCUUCGCUGGUCAAGCCUUUUCUCAGGUGUCUGGCGAAGCAGGUGGAAAUGGGAAAUAUUGAUGAUGGUAAUCAUGAAGGGUGAAAGACUGGAGCUGGAAGAAAAUGACUCAUUGAUGAUUCAUUGAGCAGUGGAUCACAGGAAGAUGCUGUCUGAUCUGCUGAGUUCCUCCAGCAUCAUGUUUGAUGCUCCAGAUUCCAGCAUCUGCAGUCUCUUAUGUCUUCAUUUGUCUAAAGUUUAGCUGCUGAAUAACGGCCUGAGUGAGAGCGAGGAGAACUCGUGGACAACAAAACCAACGCAUCUUUAACAAAUAAAACAUCU